RNAcentral lists this ribosomal RNA (353 nucleotides) under uncultured bacterium. Its description in RNAcentral is "bacterial SSU rRNA". It matches the Rfam family "Bacterial small subunit ribosomal RNA", at positions 8 to 350 of the family's 1533-position model. The record is from RNAcentral.
AGAGUUUGAUCAUGGCUCAGGAUGAACGCUAGCUACAGGCUUAACACAUGCAAGUCGAGGGGAAACGACAUCGAAAGCUUGCUUUUGAUGGGCGUCGACCGGCGCACGGGUGAGUAACGCGUAUCCAACCUGCCCACCACUUGGGGAUAACCUUGCGAAAGUAAGACUAAUACCCAAUGACGUCUCUAGAAGACAUCUGAAAGAGAUUAAAGAUUUAUCGGUGAUGGAUGGGGAUGCGUCUGAUUAGCUUGUUGGCGGGGUAACGGCCACCAAGGCUACGAUCAGUAGGGGUUCUGAGAGGAAGGUCCCCCACAUUGGAACUGAGACACGGUCCAAAACUCCUACGGGAGACA